RNAcentral lists this non-coding RNA (104 nucleotides) under Paenibacillus beijingensis. Its description in RNAcentral is "Glycine sequence". It matches the Rfam family "Glycine riboswitch aptamer". Rfam says of the family: This family represents the bacterial glycine riboswitch. Glycine riboswitches usually consist of two metabolite-binding aptamers domains with similar structures in tandem. The record is from Rfam by way of RNAcentral. Lineage: Bacteria; Bacillati; Bacillota; Bacilli; Caryophanales; Paenibacillaceae.
AUGAUGGUAACGGGAGAGAUUGCCCAAGUCAGCUGACAGGGCGGCGCCGAAGGAGUAAGCCUGAUGCAGGUGAAUCUCUCAGGCAAAAGGACCUUUACCGGACG